RNAcentral lists this ribosomal RNA (1009 nucleotides) under Streptomyces triticiradicis. RNAcentral's name for it is "Streptomyces sp. NEAU-H2 partial 23S ribosomal RNA". It matches the Rfam family "Bacterial large subunit ribosomal RNA", at positions 1823 to 2822 of the family's 2925-position model. The record is from RNAcentral. Lineage: Bacteria; Bacillati; Actinomycetota; Actinomycetes; Kitasatosporales; Streptomycetaceae.
GUGCGAAGCCGUAAGGCGAUGUAUACGGACUGACGCCUGCCCGGUGCUGGAACGUUAAGGGGACCGGUUAGUCACUCUUCGGGGUGGCGAAGCUGAGAACUUAAGCGCCAGUAAACGGCGGUGGUAACUAUAACCAUCCUAAGGUAGCGAAAUUCCUUGUCGGGUAAGUUCCGACCUGCACGAAUGGCGUAACGACUUCUCGACUGUCUCAACCAUAGGCCCGGUGAAAUUGCACUACGAGUAAAGAUGCUCGUUUCGCGCAGCAGGACGGAAAGACCCCGGGACCUUUACUACAGUUUGAUAUUGGUGUUCGGUUCGGCUUGUGUAGGAUAGCUGGGAGACUGUGAAAGCCGCACGCCAGUGUGGUGGGAGUCGUCGUUGAAAUACCAGUCUGGUCGUGCUGGAUGUCUAACCUGGGUCCGUGAUCCGGAUCAGGGACAGUGUCUGAUGGGUAGUUUAACUGGGGCGGUUGCCUCCUAAAGAGUAACGGAGGCGCCCAAAGGUUCCCUCAGCCUGGUUGGCAAUCAGGUGUUGAGUGUAAGUGCACAAGGGAGCUUGACUGUGAGACCGACGGGUCGAGCAGGGACGAAAGUCGGGACUAGUGAUCCGGCGGUGGCUUGUGGAAGCGCCGUCGCUCAACGGAUAAAAGGUACCCCGGGGAUAACAGGCUGAUCUUCCCCAAGAGUCCAUAUCGACGGGAUGGUUUGGCACCUCGAUGUCGGCUCGUCGCAUCCUGGGGCUGGAGUCGGUCCCAAGGGUUGGGCUGUUCGCCCAUUAAAGCGGUACGCGAGCUGGGUUUAGAACGUCGUGAGACAGUUCGGUCCCUAUCCGCUGUGCGCGUAGGAAUAUUGAGAAGGGCUGUCCCUAGUACGAGAGGACCGGGACGGACGAACCUCUGGUGUGCCAGUUGUCCUGCCAAGGGCAUGGCUGGUUGGCUACGUUCGGGAGGGAUAACCGCUGAAAGCAUCUAAGCGGGAAGCCUGCUUCAAGAUGAGUAUUCCCACCCCCU